CGAUGAUCACUGGGUGUGGGGAUGAAUAGUCUCUGUGCCGAAGCAAAAGCGAUAAGUGAUCCGCCUGGGGAGUACGUACGCAAGUAUGAAACUCAAAGGAAUUGACGGGGACCCGCACAAGUGGUGGAGCAUGUGGUUUAAUUCGACGCAACGCGAGGAACCUUACCAGGUCUUGACAUACUCGGAAUCUUUUGGAAGCAAAGGAGUGCCUUCGGGAACCGAGAUACAGGUGGUGCAUGGCUGUCGUCAG
RNAcentral lists this ribosomal RNA (250 nucleotides) under uncultured bacterium. Its description in RNAcentral is "partial 16S ribosomal RNA". It matches the Rfam family "Bacterial small subunit ribosomal RNA", at positions 807 to 1058 of the family's 1533-position model. The record is from RNAcentral.